This 254-nucleotide ribosomal RNA is filed under the name uncultured bacterium. RNAcentral describes it as "partial 16S ribosomal RNA". It matches the Rfam family "Bacterial small subunit ribosomal RNA", at positions 524 to 776 of the family's 1533-position model. The record is from RNAcentral.
UACGGGGGGAGCAAGCGUUGUUCGGAUUUACUGGGCGGAAAGGGCGCGUAGGCGGCCAGCACAAGUCAGUUGUGAAAUCUCCGAGCUUAACUCGGAAAGGUCAACUGAUACUGUGCGGCUAGAGUGCAGAAGGGGCAACUGGAAUUCUUGGUGUAGCGGUGAAAUGCGUAGAUAUCAAGAGGAACACCUGCGGCGAAGGCGGGUUGCUGGGCUGACACUGACGCUGAGGCGCGAAAGCUAGGGGAGCGAACGGG